CCGACCUUAGCUCAGUUGGUAGAGCGGAAGACUGUAGAUCUUUAGGUCGCUGGUUCGAAUCCGGCAGGUCGGA
This 73-nucleotide transfer RNA is filed under the name Solanum lycopersicum (tomato). RNAcentral describes it as "tRNA-Tyr (GTA) (tRNA-Tyr-GTA-3 1 to 7)". It matches the Rfam family "tRNA". Rfam says of the family: Transfer RNA (tRNA) molecules are approximately 80 nucleotides in length. Their secondary structure includes four short double-helical elements and three loops (D, anti-codon, and T loops). Further hydrogen bonds mediate the characteristic L-shaped molecular structure. tRNAs have two regions of fundamental functional importance: the anti-codon, which is responsible for specific mRNA codon recognition, and the 3' end, to which the tRNAs corresponding amino acid is attached (by aminoacyl-tRNA synthetases). tRNAs cope with the degeneracy of the genetic code in two manners: having more than one tRNA (with a specific anti-codon) for a particular amino acid; and 'wobble' base-pairing, i.e. permitting non-standard base-pairing at the 3rd anti-codon position. RNAcentral also lists the same sequence under 3 other names. The record is from RNAcentral. Lineage: Eukaryota; Viridiplantae; Streptophyta; Magnoliopsida; Solanales; Solanaceae.